AUUGAACGCUGGCGGAAUGCUUUACACAUGCAAGUCGAACGGCAGCACGGGUGCUUGCACCUGGUGGCGAGUGGCGAACGGGUGAGUAACAUAUCGGAACGUACCCAGUAAUGGGGGAUAACUAACCGAAAGGUUAGCUAAUACCGCAUACGCCCUGAGGGGGAAAGCGGGGGAUCGAAGGACCUCGCGUUAUUGGAGCGGCCGAUAUCGGAUUAGCUAGUUGGUGAGGUAAAGGCUCACCAAGGCGACGAUCAGUAGCAGGUCUGAGAGGAUGAUCUGGCACACUGGAACUGAGACACGGUCCAGACUCCUACGGGAGGCAGCAGUGGGGAAUUUUGGACAAUGGGGGAAACCCUGAUCCAGCCAUUCCGCGUGAGUGAAGAAGGCCUUCGGGUUGUAAAGCUCUUUCGGCAGGGAAGAAACGGUUCUGGAUAAUACCCGGAGCUAAUGACGGUACCUGAAGAAGAAGCACCGGCUAACUACGUGCCAGCCGCCGCGGUAA
RNAcentral lists this ribosomal RNA (502 nucleotides) under uncultured bacterium. RNAcentral's name for it is "partial 16S ribosomal RNA". It matches the Rfam family "Bacterial small subunit ribosomal RNA", at positions 30 to 523 of the family's 1533-position model. The record is from RNAcentral.